This 124-nucleotide small nuclear RNA is filed under the name Nomascus leucogenys (northern white-cheeked gibbon). RNAcentral's name for it is "U2 spliceosomal RNA". It matches the Rfam family "U2 spliceosomal RNA". Rfam says of the family: U2 is a small nuclear RNA (snRNA) component of the spliceosome (involved in pre-mRNA splicing). Complementary binding between U2 snRNA (in an area lying towards the 5' end but 3' to hairpin I) and the branchpoint sequence (BPS) of the intron results the bulging out of an unpaired adenosine, on the BPS, which initiates a nucleophilic attack at the intronic 5' splice site, thus starting the first of two transesterification reactions that mediate splicing. Lineage: Eukaryota; Metazoa; Chordata; Mammalia; Primates; Hylobatidae. The record is from Rfam by way of RNAcentral.
AUCACUUCUCAGCCUUUUGGCUAAGAUCAAGUGUAGUAUCUGUUUUUUCAGUUUAAUAUCUGAUAUGUACUAAAUUAAAAAUAAUAAAAAAUAAAUGGGAGAUAAGAGAAACCAGAGAAUCCAU